AUUGAACGCUGGCGGCAGGCCUAACACAUGCAAGUCGAGCGGAUGAAGGGAGCUUGCUCCUGGAUUCAGCGGCGGACGGGUGAGUAAUGCCUAGGAAUCUGCCUGGUAGUGGGGGAUAACGUCCGGAAACGGGCGCUAAUACCGCAUACGUCCUGAGGGAGAAAGUGGGGGAUCUUCGGACCUCACGCUAUCAGAUGAGCCUAGGUCGGAUUAGCUAGUUGGUGGGGUAAAGGCCUACCAAGGCGACGAUCCGUAACUGGUCUGAGAGGAUGAUCAGUCACACUGGAACUGAGACACGGUCCAGACUCCUACGGGAGGCAGCAGUGGGGAAUUUUGGACAAUGGGCGAAAGCCUGAUCCAGCCAUGCCGCGUGUGUGAAGAAGGUCUUCGGAUUGUAAAGCACUUUAAGUUGGGAGGAAGGGAAGUAAGUUAAUACCUUGCUGUUUUGACGUUACCAACAGAAUAAGCCCCGGCUAACUUCGUG
This 484-nucleotide ribosomal RNA is filed under the name uncultured bacterium. RNAcentral's name for it is "partial 16S ribosomal RNA". It matches the Rfam family "Bacterial small subunit ribosomal RNA", at positions 30 to 507 of the family's 1533-position model. The record is from RNAcentral.